Molecule: ribosomal RNA, 484 nt
Filed under: uncultured bacterium
Lineage: Bacteria
Description: partial 16S ribosomal RNA
Rfam family: Bacterial small subunit ribosomal RNA
Source: RNAcentral
AUUGAACGCUGGCGGCAGGCCUAACACAUGCAAGUCGAGCGGAUGAAGGGAGCUUGCUCCUGUAUUCAGCUGCGGACGGGUGAGUAAUGCCUAGGAAUCUGCCUGGUAGUGGGGGAUAACGUCCGGAAACGGGCGCUAAUACCGCAUACGUCCUGAGGUAGAAAGUGGGGGAUCUUCGGACCUCACGCUAUCAGAUGAGCCUAGGUCGUAUUAGCUAGUUGGUGUGGUAAAGGCCUACCAAGGCGACGAUCCGUAACUGGUCUGAGAGGAUGAUCAGUCACACUGGAACUGAGACACGGUCCAGACUCCUACGGGAGGCAGCAGUGGGGAAUAUUGGACAAUGGGCGAAAGCCUGAUCGAGCCAUGCCGCGUGUGUGAAGAAGGUCUUCGGAUUGUAAAGCACUUUAAGUUGGGAGGAAGGGAAGUAAGUUAAUACCUUGAUGUUUUGACGUUACCAACAGAAUAAGCAACGGCUAACUUCGUG